GUGCUAUCGCUUCAACAGCACAUAUAUUAAAAUUGGAACGAUACAGACAAGAUUAGCAUGGCCCCCGUGCAUCUAUAUUCAUCAGGAAUAUCUGCCUAUAAUU
This 103-nucleotide small nuclear RNA is filed under the name Sorex araneus (European shrew). The record is from RNAcentral. Lineage: Eukaryota; Metazoa; Chordata; Mammalia; Eulipotyphla; Soricidae.